RNAcentral lists this ribosomal RNA (433 nucleotides) under uncultured bacterium. Its description in RNAcentral is "partial 16S ribosomal RNA". It matches the Rfam family "Bacterial small subunit ribosomal RNA", at positions 29 to 507 of the family's 1533-position model. The record is from RNAcentral.
AACGAACGCUGGCGGCAGGCCUAACACAUGCAAGUCGAGCGAGGACUUCGGUCCUAGCGGCGGACGGGGGAGUAACGCGUGGGAACGUGCCCUUUGCUUCGGAAUAGCCCUGGGAAACUGGGAGUAAUACCGGAUGAGCCCUUUGGGGGAAAGAUUUAUCGGCGCAGGAUCGGCCCGCGUUGGAUUAGGUAGUUGGUGGUGUAAUGGCCUACCAAGCCGACGAUCCAUAGCUGGUGUGAGAGGAUGAUCAGCCACGCUGGGACUGAGACACGGCCCAGACUCCUACGGGAGGCAGCAGUGGGGAAUCUUAGACAAUGGAGGAAACCCUGGUCUAGCCAUGCCGCGUGAGCGAUGAAGGCCUUAGGGUUGUAAAGCUCUUUCAGCUGGGAAGAUAAUGACGGUACCAGCAGAAGAAGCCCCGGCUAACUCCGUG